GGGCGUAUAGCUCAGCUGGUUAGAGCGCACGCCUGAUAAGCGUGAGGUCGAUGGUUCGAGUCCAUCUAUGCCCACCA
This 77-nucleotide transfer RNA is filed under the name Fusibacter paucivorans. RNAcentral's name for it is "tRNA-Ile". It matches the Rfam family "tRNA". Rfam says of the family: Transfer RNA (tRNA) molecules are approximately 80 nucleotides in length. Lineage: Bacteria; Bacillati; Bacillota; Clostridia; Eubacteriales; Fusibacteraceae. The record is from RNAcentral.